Non-coding RNA from Amphiprion ocellaris (clown anemonefish), 353 nucleotides. The record is from the annotation of a RefSeq genome assembly. NCBI's taxonomy places the organism in Eukaryota, Metazoa, Chordata, Actinopteri, Pomacentridae.
AAUGUGUUCUCUCUCUCUGCAGUGGGUGAUGUCCGUCCCUCCCUGACGGUGCUGCCCCCCUCCAGAGAGGAGCUGCAGCAGGGGAAGGCCACGCUCAUGUGUCUGGCCAACAAGGGCUUCCCCUCAGACUGGAGUCUGUCCUGGAAGGUGGACGGCAGCAGCAGCACACAAGGCAGGAGCCCCGGGGUGCUGCAGGAGGACGGCCUCUACAGCUGGAGCAGCACCCUGAGGCUCCCUGCAGACCAGUGGAGGAAGGUGGGCUCUGUGAGCUGUGAGGCCACCCAGGGCUCCCAGACUCCACUCUCAGAGACACUGAGGAGAGACCAGUGUUCCCAGUCCUGACCUCACCCACU